UAAAUUUUAUUUAUUAAUUUUAUUUAUUUAAGUAUUAUAUUUAAUAAAAAUAAUUUUAAUUCAGUAUAGUUUUAGUAUUUUUUAAAGAAAUAAUAAUUUUAAUAAUAGUUUAUUUGUAUUGUAAAAGAAGAUUGAAAUAAUUUGAAAAAUUUUUAUUUUAAAAGAAAAUUUAAUUUAUUGUACCUUGUGUAUCAGGGUUUAUUAAUUAAUUAAUUAUUAUAGUAAUUUUUCUCGAAUUUUAAAGAUUUAAUUAUAUAUAAAAGUUAUUGUGGAAUAAUUAUUUUUAAUAUAUAAUUAGAAAUGAAAUGUUAAUCGUUUUAAAAUAUAUCUAGUUUUUUAAGAAAUAAAUUUAAUUUAGAUUUAUAAAUUAAAAGUAUUAUUUAUUUAAUAUUUUUAAUUUAUAAAAUUAAUAUUUUAAGGGAUUAGCUUUAAAAUAAAUUUUUAAAUUUUAAAAAAGUAUUUAAUAAAUGUAAGCUUAAAAAUAGUUAUCAUUAAUAAAUUUGUUAUAAUUUAUUUUAAAUUUUUUAUUAUUUAUUAUAAAAUUAAAUUAUUUAUUAAAAUAUAAAUUUUAAUAUUAAUGAUUUAUAAAUUAUGGUAAAAUUAGUAUAUUUAAUUUAUAUAAAUUAUUUAAAUUGAGAGGUUUAAAUAAGGAAUUCGGCAAAUUAUAUAUUCACCUGUUUAUCAAAAACAUGUCUUUUUGUAUUUAAUUUAAAGUCUAACCUGCCCACUGAUAGAUAUUAAAGGGCCGCAGUAUUUUGACUGUGCGAAGGUAGCAUAAUCAGUAGUCUUUUAAUUGAAGGCUUGUAUGAAUGGUUGAAUGAGAUAUAUACUGUCUUUUUUAAAUUUUUAUAGAAUUUUAUUUUUUAAUUAAAAAGUUAAAAUAUAAUUAAAAGACGAGAAGACCCUAUAGAUCUUUAUUUUUUUUUAAUUAUAAGUUAAAAAGAAUAAUUAAAUUUAUAGUUUUAUAAAAAAUUUUACUGGGGUGGUAUUAAAAUUUAAUUAACUUUUAUUAUUUGUUUACAUUAAUAUAUGUAUAUUUGAUCCAAUUUUAUUGAUUAAAAAAUUAAGUUACCUUAGGGAUAACAGCGUAAUUUUUUUUUAGAGUUCUUAUCGACAAAAAAGAUUGCGACCUCGAUGUUGGAUUAAGAAUUAUUUUUAGGUGUAGAAGUUUAAAGUUUAGGUCUGUUCGACCUUUGAAUUCUUACAUGAUCUGAGUUCAAACCGGCGUAAGCCAGGUUGGUUUCUAUCUUUAAUAAAUUAUUAUAUUAUAGUACGAAAGGACCUAAUAUAAAAAAUAUAAAUUUUAAAUUUAUGAAUUAUAUUAAUAUUUAAUAA
RNAcentral lists this ribosomal RNA (1335 nucleotides) under Aedes albopictus (Asian tiger mosquito). RNAcentral's name for it is "16S ribosomal RNA". The record is from RNAcentral. Lineage: Eukaryota; Metazoa; Arthropoda; Insecta; Diptera; Culicidae.